GAUGAGAAAAUGUUGGUACUAACCAAAUUCUCUAGGCAAUACCGUUUCAAUUUCUGCAGGUUAGUAACACUGUUAAAGUAGUAAAUCCAAGGUUUGCAGAGUCGGUUUUGACGUAUGCGCGCGUAUAUGUCAAACAAUAAAUAUUAUAUAAAUGAUUUAUGACAUUUGAUUUAAUAAAUGAAUAAAAAUUACACAAAUAACUAAAAAUAUAGUGCAUAGAGAUGAACAAGACAAGAUUUAUGAUUGAAAUCUGGUUUUCCAUAUUAAAAUCAUUGUCAGCCGAGAAACAAAAUCUGUGCAAGAUAAAAUAGAAACAUAAAGA
Molecule: long non-coding RNA, 322 nt
Filed under: Monomorium pharaonis (pharaoh ant)
Lineage: Eukaryota; Metazoa; Arthropoda; Insecta; Hymenoptera; Formicidae
Description: uncharacterized LOC118644549
Source: RNAcentral